AUAAUUUGCAUAAUUAAGCCGGAGAUAGCAGGUGCGUAUAGCUUAAUAUCCUGCCGAGGUUGUAAUUUUAACUGACUGAAGUAAUUCCACAUCCGUUAACCAGACGUGGGAACUACAGCAUUAAAAAUACUACUAUGAAACCCCGGCCAAGAUCGCUGGGGUUUGUUGUUUUCGGU
Non-coding RNA from Raphidiopsis brookii D9, 176 nucleotides. The record is from Rfam. Lineage: Bacteria; Bacillati; Cyanobacteriota; Cyanophyceae; Nostocales; Aphanizomenonaceae.